AUGGAUGCUGCGGUAGGUCGUGGGGGUCGGUAUGGAGCUGUUGUUGCGAUCUGCAGGGAGCGAGAUGGAAGCUUUCUAGGGGCAUCAGCACUUAUCUUCAAACACAUUGCUGAUCCAACCACACUUGAAGCUUUGGCGGUCAGAGAGGGCCAUGAUCUUGCUGCCGAUUUGAAUCUUGCAAGAGUAUAUGCUGCUACAGAUUGUAAAGAGGUGUACUGCUACAACAGAAAGAAACAUGGGAGGGAUAAACGACGUAUACCCUCCAAUCGGCCAUGUGGCGGCGGUGGCGGUGGCAGUAGCCGCGGCAUCCUCGGCGGCCUUUUUGUCGGCUUCGGCCUUCUCAACGGCGGCACGGUCGGCGUCGGUCGACAUGGUGAUGACGAAGCUUUCGUUCGGGCCGCGCCUCUGCUCUCGCCCAAGUCGCCUCAUCGCGUCUCCGCGAUUGUUCCCUUUCCUUUCUCUCGUCGUCUCGAUUCGUUUCGAAUCCCUCGUCGCCUCUGCUCCCUGUGCUCGCAGGGAAUUCGGCCCGUCUCGUCCGCCUCCGGGGAGCGAUCGACCGGGGAUUCCGUCGAGCCGUUCGGUUUUGCUUCUGCGGCUGAUUUGGUUUCGGGCGACCCCAGGGCCGGAGCAAGGUUUUUUGCUUCUGCCCUCCAUGUCGUUGCAGAUUUGUUUUGGCCUCAGACAAUGCUGGUAGAAGCCGGGGACUACAUGCAAACAUGUGCUUUGUACGUGUCACGGUGUCAGGACUGGAUCUGGUAUGUGGAGAUCCCUGGGGUGUUGUAUGUCGAAGGGGAUUUGAGGCAGGUUGUAGUUGGCAAACUCAAGCCCAACCUGAUGAUGAAUCUGUUUGCAAAUCUUCUAAAUCCACUACGCCACCUCCGUGAGUUCGCUUGCAGGACUGGAUCUGGAUCUGGUUUGGACAGGAAACUCCCUAUGGUGUAUAACAGUAUAGGAAGGAGGCUUGAGGCAGGAUGUUGUGGAGUGAUGAAUCAAAGGAUCGAGAUUGUUGGUUCUGGGGACUUUCCGGAAGCAUUGAUUGUGGUUUUUUGCUUCCGCCUUCCUGUGGUUGCAGAUCAAGCCAUGCUGUAUAUGUUGGAAUUGGUGGGUGUGCCCUGUAGAGUCAGAUACAAGACAGUGGAGAUUGUAUUGAAGGCUAGAGGUUUGGGUGAUUUAUGGCUGUUCUUUAGCUCCUCGGAUGAUAUCUUAAGUUUGGGAUUGGAAUUGUUGGUCAUGCCUGCAUGCUUUCAGUUUGAACUUGCAUUCAGUGGUAGUCUGGAGUUAGUAGUGUGCACAUCUGAUUCUUCCAACCGUCCUGAAGCAUCUUACUUGGUUUCUGUUCUGUGCCAUCGGUAUCUGCUUCAACUUGCAUGUGAAAAUGAUGUUCUCUCAUUGGUUCUUCUCCACUGGGAUCUGGAUUACACAUAUCUUCAAUUCAAUGCAUCUUCUCAGUUUGCUGGGGAACUUCCUAGCUUUAAUUUGACAACUAGCAAAACAGUCUGGCUAAUUCGAAGUUCAUUCAUCCUGGAUUAA
Molecule: ribosomal RNA, 1530 nt
Filed under: Triticum aestivum (bread wheat)
Lineage: Eukaryota; Viridiplantae; Streptophyta; Magnoliopsida; Poales; Poaceae
Description: partial small subunit ribosomal RNA
Source: RNAcentral